UCGCUUUCAUUCUGGACACGGCCGCAUG
Molecule: small RNA, 28 nt
Filed under: Bombyx mori (domestic silkworm)
Lineage: Eukaryota; Metazoa; Arthropoda; Insecta; Lepidoptera; Bombycidae
Description: ovarian small RNA-28882
Source: RNAcentral